AUUUGCGCAUAUCGCUCCCGAUCUCUCUGUCUUUUUCGUAUAUUGGGAUCCAAGUGUGAAGAUGGCGAUCCAGAUGGUGUGGUAGCAUCAAGCAUGGAAGAUGGAGCUGUUGAUAAACACAUAUAUAGGCAAUAUAGAAAGUGUUAUUCAAGGUAAUUGUAAGAACAGCUUGAAGAAUAUAAUUGAUUCUUUGCGGUUACUAUCUUUUGUUUCCUUAUGCCAGAUUUACUCAAAUAUAGCUGUUAUGGCAGGUAAUCGGAAUUUCUCCUUUGCUUUACCUUUCUAUACAGGAGUACAGGUAGACAAUUGCAUAAGCACUUGGCAAGCGAAAGGAUCAACUACGAUAUUAUACCAAGUCAUGAACAGUGCAUCGGUAAGUUAUUGUGUUGCCAUGUUAUUUGAUAUCAAGGCCAGCAACGAUUAAUUUUUUAUCCUACAAGAUUUGUGGCCUUCUUUAUCACUCAAUGUAUGUAUGAAAUUUAAACGAUAUACAUGUGUACCUGAAAUCUAAACUUUCUUCUACUGCAGAGGCUACCUGAUGACAUUCUUACGAUAUACAUGUGUGUGCCUGAAAUUUAAACUUUCUUCUACUUCAGAGGCUACAUGAUGACAUUCUUGCUGGUUGCUGCUGCUAGCUGCUGUGCUACCUGGUGUAUUCUUUUCUUGCAAUUUUGCUCCUAGCUUCUAUGCCAAGCUAAUAUGUGGUGUGGUGUGGUGUGGUGUAUAUAUGUAACUAGCUAGCCUAUAAUCCUACUCGGUACGCUUACGCUCGGAGAGAAAAUCGGAGAUGUUGCGAUGGCACAACCGUGAUGUAAGCGGUGGACGGACGGACGGACGGACGAACGGAAAUGGCUGUUGAAGCAUAUUUCAGUUGCAUAUUUGUUUUUCCUACUACAGUUGACUAAUGCAGAUGAUGUGAACUACAGUAAUCUGUAUGUGACCAGCAUGUUCAUAUUACAGAUCAUGUUGACAUAGAGGAAGCAUAUUAUGUGCUAACAAUUUCUGAAGAAAAAUAUCUAUCUAUCUAUCUAUCUAUCUAUCUAUCUAUCUAUCUAUCUAUCUAUUAUAUACUAAAAGUCCAUUAAACUUCCUACAAACGCCCUCAUGCCGCCACAUGGUGCUCUAAAAAUGCUCUCAAGCUGCCACAUGGCGUAAUAAUAAAAUAGAAAAAACUUAGAAAUUCUGAGAAAAAAGAAAAAAAAUCUAGCCCUCGAUUUUCAUUUAAGUUGAUGGACCCAUUAGUUUACACCAUUGGAUUAGAUGUAAUCUACCCC
RNAcentral lists this long non-coding RNA (1274 nucleotides) under Oryza sativa (Asian cultivated rice). Its description in RNAcentral is "long non-coding RNA (OSAT_LNC000756)". The record is from RNAcentral. Lineage: Eukaryota; Viridiplantae; Streptophyta; Magnoliopsida; Poales; Poaceae.